GGCGGCAGGCCUAACACAUGCAAGUCGAGCGCGAAAACACUUCGGUGUGAGUAGAGCGGCGGACGGGUGAGUAAUGCUUGGGAAUCUGCCCAGUAGUGGGGGAUAACGUGUGGAAACGCACGCUAAUACCGCAUACGUCCUACGGGAGAAAGCAGGGGAUCUUCGGACCUUGCGCUAUUGGAUGAGCCCAAGUCGGAUUAGCUAGUUGGUGGGGUAAUGGCCUACCAAGGCGACGAUCCGUAGCUGGUCUGAGAGGAUGAUCAGCCACACUGGGACUGAGACACGGCCCAGACUCCUACGGGAGGCAGCAGUGGGGAAUAUUGCACAAUGGGCGAAAGCCUGAUGCAGCCAUGCCGCGUGUGUGAAGAAGGCUCUAGGGUUGUAAAGCACUUUCAGUAGGGAGGAAAAGCUUAAGGUUAAUAACCUUGAGCCUUGACGUUACCUACAGAAGAAGCACCGGCAAACUCCGUGCCAGCAGCCGCGGUAAUACGGAGGGUGCGAGCGUUAAUCGGAAUUACUGGGCGUAAAGCGCGCGUAGGUGGUUUGAUAAGCUAGCUGUGAAAGCCCCGGGCUCAACCUGGGAACUGCAGUUAGAACUGUCUGACUAGAGUACAGUAGAGGGUGGCGGAAUUUCCUGUGUAGCGGUGAAAUGCGUAGAUAUAGGAAGGAACAUCAGUGGCGAAGGCGGCCACCUGGACUGAUACUGACACUGA
RNAcentral lists this ribosomal RNA (713 nucleotides) under gamma proteobacterium IMCC14762. RNAcentral describes it as "bacterial SSU rRNA". It matches the Rfam family "Bacterial small subunit ribosomal RNA", at positions 38 to 749 of the family's 1533-position model. The record is from RNAcentral. Lineage: Bacteria; Pseudomonadati; Pseudomonadota; Gammaproteobacteria.